Long non-coding RNA from Suricata suricatta (meerkat), 387 nucleotides. RefSeq lists it as uncharacterized. The record is from RefSeq and is a predicted model, not a curated record. The transcript has 3 exons. NCBI's taxonomy places the organism in Eukaryota, Metazoa, Chordata, Mammalia, Carnivora, Herpestidae.
AAGUGGCAGGGUACUGCACUCCAGAGUUCCCAAGGAGUGGCCAACUCAGGCUGACAAAGGCUGGUGUGCAUCCCCAGUCCCUCCCUGGAGAGUUUUCUCAUCUGGUGAGUGGAGCUGGUACAGCCAGAGCCUGGGAGCUCUUGCCUAAGGAGGAAAUGGAAUCUUUAUUCUGAAGCUUCAGCUCUGACGAGAGAGUAAGAAAUGUGUCUCCCCCUCGAUGGGAACAACGUGUGCAGGGAAGGACCUACGGUGCUGUGGGCACUCCGACAGGUCCUUAGAUGAAAGCACUUCCUGCCUGUUCUGUUCAAUCCCAGUCCAGAGUUUGCUGGUUUGCUCACGCAGGUAUUUUCCUUCCUGAGAGCCAUCAAGGAUCGAGAGCAUCCUCAG